GACGAACGCUGGCGGCGUGCUUAACACAUGCAAGUCGAGCGGAAAGGCCACUUCGGUGGUACUCGAGCGGCGAACGGGUGAGUAACACGUGAGUAAUCUGCCCCUCACUUUGGGAUAGCCACCGGAAACGGUGAUUAAUACCGGAUAUGACCAUAUGUCGCAUGGCGUGUGGUGGAAAGUUUUUCGGUGAGGGAUGUGCUCGCGGCCUAUCAGCUUGAUGGUGAGGUAAUGGCUCACCAUGGCUUCGACGGGUAGCCGGCCUGAGAGGGUGACCGGUCACACUGGGACUGAGACACGGCCCAGACUCCUACGGGAGGCAGCAGUGGGGAAUAUUGGACAAUGGGCGGAAGCCUGAUCCAGCAACGCCGCGUGAGGGAUGACGGCCUUCGGGUUGUAAACCUCUUUCAGUACCGACGAAGCGAAAGUGACGGUAGGUAAAGAAGAAGCACCGGCCAACUACGUG
This 463-nucleotide ribosomal RNA is filed under the name uncultured bacterium. Its description in RNAcentral is "partial 16S ribosomal RNA". It matches the Rfam family "Bacterial small subunit ribosomal RNA", at positions 28 to 507 of the family's 1533-position model. The record is from RNAcentral.